This 497-nucleotide ribosomal RNA is filed under the name uncultured bacterium. Its description in RNAcentral is "partial 16S ribosomal RNA". It matches the Rfam family "Bacterial small subunit ribosomal RNA", at positions 28 to 507 of the family's 1533-position model. The record is from RNAcentral.
GAUGAACGCUGGCGGCGUGCCUAAUACAUGCAAGUCGAGCGAACAGACGAGGAGCUUGCUCCUCUGACGUUAGCGGCGGACGGGUGAGUAACACGUGGAUAACCUACCUAUAAGACUGGGAUAACUUCGGGAAACCGGAGCUAAUACCGGAUAAUAUAUUGAACCGCAUGGUUCAAUAGUGAAAGACGGUUUUGCUGUCACUUAUAGAUGGAUCCGCGCCGCAUUAGCUAGUUGGUAAGGUAACGGCUUACCAAGGCAACGAUGCGUAGCCGACCUGAGGGGGUGAGCGGCCACACUGGAACUGAGACACGGCCCAGAGUGCUACGGGAGGCAGCAGUAGGGAAUCGUCCGCAAUGGGCGAAAGCUUGACGGAGCAACGCCGCGUGAGUGAUGAAGGUCUUCGGAUCGUAAAACUCUGUUAUUAGGGAAGAACAAAUGUGUAAGUAACUAUGCACGUCUUGACGGUACCUAAUCAGAAAGCCACGGCUAACUACGUG